This 615-nucleotide ribosomal RNA is filed under the name uncultured bacterium. RNAcentral's name for it is "bacterial SSU rRNA". The stretch from base 1 to 524 matches the Rfam family "Bacterial small subunit ribosomal RNA", at positions 338 to 873 of the family's 1533-position model. The record is from RNAcentral.
CCUACGGGAGGCAGCAGUGGGGAAUAUUGGACAAUGGGCGAAAGCCUGAUCCAGCAAUGCCGCGUGAGUGAUGAAGGCCUUCGGGUCGUAAAGCUCUUUUACCAGGGAUGAUAAUGACAGUACCUGGAGAAUAAGCUCCGGCUAACUCCGUGCCAGCAGCCGCGGUAAUACGGAGGGAGCUAGCGUUGUUCGGAAUUACUGGGCGUAAAGAGUACGUAGGCGGUUAUUCAAGUCAGAGGUGAAAGCCCGGGGCUCAACCCCGGAACUGCCUUUGAAACUAGAUAGCUAGAGUCUUGGAGAGGUUAGUGGAAUUCCGAGUGUAGAGGUGAAAUUCGUAGAUAUUCGGAAGAACACCAGUGGCGAAGGCGACUAACUGGACAAGUACUGACGCUGAGGUACGAAAGCGUGGGGAGCAAACAGGAUUAGAUACCCUGGUAGUCCACGCCGUAAACGAUGAUAACUAGUUGUUCGGUCACUUGGUGUACUGAGUGACGCGAGACUAACGACAUUAAGUUAAUUCCGUCCGUCGGGUAGGUACGGUCGGCGAAGAAUUAAACUAACAAAGGAAGUUAGUACGGCGUGAGACGUGCCGACGGACGACGACGAGGGAGUAGG